GAAAAUGGCGUCAUACGACACUGGCUAUGAAGAUGAACGAUUUCAACAUCCCGUUGGCCAUACGUUGCAUUGUGGUAUAUGUCUGAAUGUUUUAAAAGAUCCAGUCACGUGUCGACAUAAUGAGCAUCUGUCUUGUCGAGCUUGUAUCACCAUACAUCUCAUGAACUUUCAAACAUGUCCAUCGUGUAUGGAACCACUCACUGUCGAAUCACUGCGUCAAGCACCUCGGAGCAUAACAAACUUACUUUCCGAAUUAAAGAUCCGCUGUCAAUUCUUCGAUCGUGGUUGCGGACAGUUUGUUGAAUUAGGAAAUCUCGAAAGGCAUGU
Non-coding RNA from Paramuricea clavata, 327 nucleotides. Lineage: Eukaryota; Metazoa; Cnidaria; Anthozoa; Malacalcyonacea; Plexauridae. The record is from the annotation of a GenBank genome assembly.